Long non-coding RNA from Psammomys obesus (fat sand rat), 1171 nucleotides. RefSeq lists it as uncharacterized. NCBI's taxonomy places the organism in Eukaryota, Metazoa, Chordata, Mammalia, Rodentia, Muridae. The record is from RefSeq and is a predicted model, not a curated record. The transcript has 3 exons.
AGUCCAAAAGGCCUUUGCGACCGUUCAACCCAAUUUCGUCUUUAUAGAUGGGGAGACUGAGUCCUCCCCAACGGAGGAGAAUCCCAGGACGUCGCCAAAUCUGCAAAUCAAGCGGUCUGGGACGAGGCGAUUGAGCUCACCAGCCAGCAGCAGCGAGGCGGCGAGGGGACAAAGUGCUGCGCGAGUCAGAAGAGGGCGAAUGCGAGGGCACGGAGCUAAACGGGACCCAGGAUCGCUAUGGUUUGGAUGCGAAAUGUCACCCACGGACUUGUGUUUCGCACACUUGAUCUCCAGCUGGUCGCACUGUUUGGGCAGACUCAGCCUCUCUCAAGCACUUGGCCCAGAUGUCCAACAGAAUCCUAGCUGUUUCUACCAGAAUGGCCCACAAACUUUUUAAAGUAGCACGUCCCAAGUUGGAUGGAUCCUCCAGCUUGUUCUCCUCAUCUUCCUCAUCUGGGCAAAUGGCUGCACUGGCCUCUGUCAGACACCGAGGUGUCACCUUUAAGCUUUCCCAGCCCUAGCCUACCUCCAGCCAGCGACUGGUCUGCUAGUCUUGAGUCCUGUCUCCUCACACACGCCUGUCCCAGCACAGCAAUGCAGCUGUAACAGCUGUAGCAGCUGUAGCAGCUGUAGCAGCUACUUCCUUCCCAGGCUGCCACCUGUUCCCUGCUCUUCCCUAACCCCCCAUUCCAGUCAGUGUGGUCCUUCCCAAACACAAGUCACAUCCCUGCUUAUCAGCUCCUUCCUCACCCCGCAGUGACCCAGUGUCCCAAAUUGGCAGUCAAGGCUCACCUUCACCUUCCUCCUGUUUCUUUUCCUUUUUCCCAAUCAGCUGAAUAAUAAUAAUAGUAAUAAUAAAACAUAGACAUGAACUGGGGACUUGGCUCAGUGAUUAAGAGUACUUGCUGCUCUUCCAAAGGACCCAAAUUCAGUUCCCAGUGGCCACUUGGUGGUUCACAACUGCCUGCAACUUCAACUCCAGGAAAUACAGUGCAUUCAUGUUUCCCUCCACAUCUCUCCACACCCCCAAGGACACAUAAAUUAAAAAAAAAAAAUGAAAAGAACAGAGUAAUGCCAUAUGCCCUUUACCAGUGUCCCCAACAACAACAUCCUGCAAGAAGAAAGGGCAGGUCACCAGCACGAAGGCAGUUUCCCUUAUUUUGUUCUUGUG